AGAACCUCCAACUACACUUGAGGGAGGAAAGUGCAGGACACCGAGGGGACCUGUGUCUUGUGUUUCAGAUGUAUAGAAACUUGAUACCUCCCUGCAAGCUGAGGGAGCAGGCUCCGGCCUUGGCCAGCCCAGAAAGGGGAUCCCACAAUGCAGCGGUGGGCUGAAGUGUUCCUCAAGUGCCGCCAAAGUGGGAGCCCAGGCAGAGGAGGCGCCGAGAGCGAGUGAGGGCUGUGAGGACUGCCAGCACGCUGUCACCUCUCAACACUGCGGUGCUGAUAAUGACACUUCCUGAUAAUUAGGAAUGUGGAGCCAAGAUGGCCGAAUAGGAACAGCUCCGGUCUACAGCUCCCAGCGUGAGCGACGCAGAAGAUGGGUGAUUUCUGCAUUUCCAUCUGAGGUUUUUCCCAUGGUGUUCCCUUUCCAAUGUCUUUCUGGAAGUCACACAUUGACCACUAACAACAGGAGAGAGGACAAAGAAAGGCAGCAAAAGACUAUUUCCAAUGCGAAAUAUGAUCAGUGUGCCCCAAGGAAGCCAAAAGAUUGGACACCCCUGGAAACUCAUCAGUCAGAGGAGAUGUGAGUGAGAGGCCUCAAGUGACCCUUUCUGGAAAUUCUUCCAUAUGAAAACAUGGGAGGAGGGAGGUUUCCUAUGUAGGAACCACAUGUGCAAAAAUGGCAAAAGAAAGAGAGGAGCAAGAGAUCCGCUUAUGAUAAUCCAACAAAACGAUAACUGGAACAGAAAAGAAAACGACGGCCAAUCAAACCCCUGAGUGACUCCACAUUGUCUUUAAUUCUCCUCUAAUCAAAGAGCAGCACACAGUUGUGAGAGGUGGUCCGAGCCGGGGAGAUUAUGCAGAGAGUGACUCCAUUCAGAGAAAUUUUGGCAUGAUUCCUAACCUCUUAGCCUGAGGGAGAAUUUCUUAAAUUUUAUUUGUGGUUCUCACCUGAGAGAAUUGAUGCCUUCAAGAGAGCACCAGACAGAGGCUAAACAGACAUGCAAUAAAAUUAUCCUCCUUGGAUGGGUCAGGAGCUGGCUGAUAACUUACUCUAAGCCUACAUCAAUCAGGGAGCAGCAGGGGCAUCCACAGUCAAGGAGAGCUGAAGGUGGCAGGGCGUACAGCCGCAGAUCAUCUUAAAUAAAGAUAUAGAAGGCAGACUCUCAUAAAAGAAACCAUAAAUGAAACAAUGAAUAACGACUUCUGUUUAUCAUUCUCUAUUGUUUGCAACUUUCACAAUAAGCGUGUAUUGUUUUCUUAAAUAAAUAGCAAACAAUAAACUCA
This 1280-nucleotide long non-coding RNA is filed under the name Homo sapiens (human). Its description in RNAcentral is "long intergenic non-protein coding RNA 402". The record is from RNAcentral. Lineage: Eukaryota; Metazoa; Chordata; Mammalia; Primates; Hominidae.